This 484-nucleotide ribosomal RNA is filed under the name uncultured bacterium. RNAcentral describes it as "partial 16S ribosomal RNA". It matches the Rfam family "Bacterial small subunit ribosomal RNA", at positions 30 to 507 of the family's 1533-position model. The record is from RNAcentral.
AUUGAACGCUGGCGGCAUGCCUUACACAUGCAAGUCGAACGGCAGCGCGGGAGCAAUCCUGGCGGCGAGUGGCGAACGGGUGAGUAAUACAUCGGAACGUGCCCAAUCGUGGGGGAUAACGCAGCGAAAGCUGUGCUAAUACCGCAUACGAUCUACGGAUGUAAGCAGGGGAUCGCAAGACCUUGCGCGAUUGGAGCGGCCGAUGGCAGAUUAGGUAGUUGGUGAGGUAAAGGCUCACCAAGCCUUCGAUCUGUAGCUGGUCUGAGAGGACGACCAGCCACACUGGGACUGAGACACGGCCCAGACUCCUACGGGAGGCAGCAGUGGGGAAUUUUGGACAAUGGGCGAAAGCCUGAUCCAGCCAUGCCGCGUGCAGGAUGAAGGCCUUCGGGUUGUAAACUGCUUUUGUACGGAACGAAACGGUCUUUUCUAAUAAAGAAGGCUAAUGACGGUACCGUAAGAAUAAGCACCGGCUAACUACGUG